Arthrobotrys megalospora is the source of this 92-nucleotide non-coding RNA. The record is from the annotation of a GenBank genome assembly. Lineage: Eukaryota; Fungi; Ascomycota; Orbiliomycetes; Orbiliales; Orbiliaceae.
GGGGAUAUAGCUCAGUUGGUAGAGCGCUUCCUUAGCGUGGGUAAAUUCCUACUGUCUGGAUGAGGUCCCGGGUUCAAUUCCCUGUGUCUCCA